This is a long non-coding RNA of Gallus gallus (chicken), 1636 nucleotides long. NCBI's taxonomy places the organism in Eukaryota, Metazoa, Chordata, Aves, Galliformes, Phasianidae. The record is from Ensembl.
AUUCACAUCCUUGUCCCCCGUCACUUUCUGAGGGACUAUAAAUAACUUCUGGGGUUGAUGCUGCAUGCGAGGCCGGGCCUUGGGAACUGAAUCAUUCUUUCCCUCACAUAACCAGCGAGGAGGUCAAUGCGCCUGCCCCUCAGAAGAAGCUGAUGAGAGACAGACUGAACCAGGAGCUCUUCUAGCAAGGGAGGAAGAAGCCUCAAAAGCCAGGCUCAGAUGGGUGACAGUGAGGAGAAACACACUGGGUGCUGGGGAGCAGGGAGAAAAGGAGCCAAGGAGAAGUUGCCAUUGUGAGGCAAAGGUUCAAAAUCCAUCAAACUUGAGAGAAGCCUCCAGACCUGGCAAGACUUUCGGUUAGAAAGCGUGGGGCACAUGAAGGGCCUUCUAUCUUGUGGGUGAACAGCAAGAACCAACAAGCUGAGGAUACAACCCACUAAUCGAUUCUGUGCCUCAUUACACUUUCUAAUUCAGGUAGUGUAAAUUAGACUGUUAUGUCUGCAUUUUCCCUUGGACUGUCAGCAGCACAAACAACAGCCAAUGCAGGGAGUGGUCAAUGUGGUAGCAAGCACAUGGGCCAGCAGGCCACAAACACAGCCUGACAUUGCUGCGUUCUGGAGCCGGUACUGACUUUUCUGCUGCCCCUUCUUCCAGUUGACCAAUAAGCAUUAAUUGGCUGUGAAGCUGCUUCCUGCGCCUCUGCUCAUAUUCAACGUAAUGUAAUGAUAAAGCACAGUGAGUACAUGAGUUGGUGCUGGCUGGGAUACACCUGCAUGCACUACCAUUGCAGCUUCAGGUGCGAUUUAUGUAUCUGCUUCUGGCAUGCAAGAUGUAAAAAUUACUGUGGUUCUAAUUGCAUGAUCUAACAAACGUCGCUGCAAAUUAACGCAACCACAGCAAAAGAUACAAGCCUUUUUCAUGAUUAUUGCAUGCCUCUAACGCCUAUCUCCAGCAGUGAAGAGUAGAUUCCCUGUGGGUUGAUGAAGUUUACACUCUGGAGUUAAGAACGGUAAUUAAAACUAUGUAAGUGCAGUUAUUAAUUUUCAGCUUCUGAGCUGAAGUGACAUGAGCUGCCAGUAACAACUAAACCUAUACUGCUUUGGUUCCCCUCUGUUUUCUCAAACAGACUGGAGUGUGAGAGGUGCACUAAGCCAGGCUCACUUGUACUAUUUGUUUUCCUUUUUGCUGUUUUGCUUGUUUUCAUUUUUAAUUAUGAAAGAUGGGCUCCUUCCAGCUAAGGGUCUGCACACGGGAGAGCAUGCAGAUGCCUGCAGACUACCUCUGCACAGUCUGCAGAAGGCAACAAAAGAAAGCAAGCCUGAAGGUGCUACUACAGUGCUGCCUGUAUGUGCAGUUUCUGUAAGGGUCCACCCUUUCUCUGAAACCUUUUAGGGGCUUUCAGGGUGAAAAGGGGCUGCGAACCACAGCUCUGGAGUAAGGCUUUGUUCACAGUACUCUCAGCUCAUUUCUGUGUGCUUAUUUAUUUGUACAGCCUCUCUUAUCUCUUGUGUGCCUUGCCAUUUCCUUAAGCUCACAUCUCUGCUUCUUGACCUAUUCAACUUCUUUUGCUCAUGACGUCAGUGUUUUUUCACAUUCUGCUUCAUUCUGACCCAGAAUAAAGCCUGAACUCUCUCCU